This 119-nucleotide non-coding RNA is filed under the name Procavia capensis (Cape rock hyrax). Lineage: Eukaryota; Metazoa; Chordata; Mammalia; Hyracoidea; Procaviidae. The record is from RNAcentral.
UUUUUCAUUAAAUGAACUGAACUCCCCUAAACAAGAAUGAAGAGGUUGUACUGACCUACACAGCAUACAUAUGGUUAAGGAACUGUCAUUCACUUUAUGGUAUCUAACCAAGACUUCUC